UGGCCGUAAACGAUGUGGACUUGGUGUUGGAAUGGCUCCGAGCUGCUCCAGUGCCGAAGGGAAGCUGUUAAGUCCACCGCCUGGGAAGUACGGUAGCAAGACUGAAACUUAAAGGAAUUGGCGGGGGAGCACCACAACGCGUGGAGCCUGCGGUUUAAUUGGAUUCAACACCGUAAAACUCACCAGGGAAGACUGUUACAUGAAGGCCGAGAUGAAGACUCUGCUAGAUUUUCAGAGAGGUGGUGCAUGGCGUCAGUGACU
Molecule: ribosomal RNA, 261 nt
Filed under: uncultured archaeon
Lineage: Archaea
Description: partial 16S ribosomal RNA
Rfam family: Archaeal small subunit ribosomal RNA
Source: RNAcentral